GUGGGGAAUCUUGCGCAAUGGGCGAAAGCCUGACGCAGCCAUGCCGCGUGAAUGAUGAAGGUCUUAGGAUUGUAAAAUUCUUUCACCGGGGACGAUAAUGACGGUACCCGGAGAAGAAGCUCCGGCUAACUUCGUGCCAGCAGCCGCGGUAAUACGAAGGGGGCUAGCGUUGCUCGGAAUUACUGGGCGUAAAGGGCGCGUAGGCGGACAGCUUAGUCAGAGGUGAAAGCCCAGGGCUCAACCUUGGAAUUGCCUUUGAUACUGGCUGUCUUGAGUUUGGGAGAGGUGAGUGGAACUCCGAGUGUAGAGGUGAAAUUCGUAGAUAUUCGGAAGAACACCAGUGGCGAAGGCGGCCAUCUGGACCAGCACUGACACUGAGGCACGAAAGCGUGGGGAGCAAACAGGAUUAGAAACCCUAGUAGUCC
Molecule: ribosomal RNA, 425 nt
Filed under: uncultured bacterium
Lineage: Bacteria
Description: partial 16S ribosomal RNA
Rfam family: Bacterial small subunit ribosomal RNA
Source: RNAcentral